Molecule: ribosomal RNA, 401 nt
Filed under: uncultured bacterium
Lineage: Bacteria
Description: bacterial SSU rRNA
Rfam family: Bacterial small subunit ribosomal RNA
Source: RNAcentral
GAUGAACGCUGGCGGCGUGCCUAUUACAUGCAAGUCGAACGAAGAUGUCUUCGGACAUCUUAGUGGCGAACGGGUGAGUAAUACGUAAGCAACCUGCCCACAAGGACCGGGAUAACUGCUGGAAACGGUAGCUAAGACCGGAUAGGUAUACUGAAGGCAUCUUUGGUAUAUUAAAGGUUAGAAACACAAGUGGAUGGGCUUACGGCGCAUUAGCUAGUUGGUGAGGUAACGGCCCACCAAGGCGAUGAUGCGUAGCCGGCCUGAGAGGGUGAACGGCCACAUUGGGACUGAGACACGGCCCAGACUCCUACGGGAGGCAGCAGUAGGGAAUUUUUCGGCAAUGGGCGCAAGCCUGACCGAGCAACGCCGCGUGAGUGAAGACGGCCUUCGGGUUGUAAAGC